Molecule: transfer RNA, 73 nt
Filed under: Plutella xylostella (diamondback moth)
Lineage: Eukaryota; Metazoa; Arthropoda; Insecta; Lepidoptera; Plutellidae
Description: tRNA-Glu
Source: RNAcentral
UGGUAGGUAGCUCAGUCGGGUAUGCGCCCGCUUCUCACGCCAGAUGUGCGGGUUCGAAUCCCGGCGCUGACAU